Molecule: ribosomal RNA, 1219 nt
Filed under: metagenome
Description: bacterial LSU rRNA
Rfam family: Bacterial large subunit ribosomal RNA
Source: RNAcentral
UUAGGAGGAGGACCAGGCAAAUCCGGGCCUCACAUACUCUGAGACGUGAUACCAAGCCGCUUCAGGCGAAGUCAUUAAUCCUAUGCUGCCUAGAAAAGCCCAGUAGCGAGUUGACAUGGUGCCCGUACCCCAAACCAACACAGGUGGACAGGUAGAGCAUACCAAGGCGAGUGGGAUAACUAUGGUUAAGGAACUCGGCAAAUUUCCUCCGUAACUUCGGGAUAAGGAGGACCCCGGUAGCGUGACGAGACUUGCUCUCCGAGCGUGAAGGGGUGGCACAAAAUUGAGGGAAGCGACUGUUUACCAAAAACACAGCAGCGUGCUAAGCCGUAAGGCGCUGUAUACGCUGUGACUCCUGCCCGGUGCUGGAAGGUUACGGGGAUGGGUUAGUCCUUCGGGACGAAGCUCUGAACCUAAGCCCCAGUAAACGGCGGCCGUAACUAUAACGGUCCUAAGGUAGCGAAAUUCCUUGUCGGGUAAGUUCCGACCUGCACGAAUGGAGUAACGACUUCCCUACUGUCUCAACCAUAGACCCAGCGAAAUUGAAGUACGAGUAAAGAUGCUCGUUAGCUGCAGAAGGACGGAAAGACCCCGUGGACCUUUACUAUAACUUGAUGUUGUGUUUUGUCAUAUGUUGUGUAGGAUAGGUGGGAGACAAGGAAGCAUGGACGCUAGUCUGUGUGGAGUCAUCGUUGAAAUACCACCCUGCAUAUGGUGAGGCUCUAACCUAGACCCGUUAUCCGGGUUGGGGACAGCGUCAGGCGGGUAGUUUAACUGGGGCGGUUGCCUCCUAAAGAGUAACGGAGGCGCCCAAAGGUUCCCUCAGCCUGGUUGGCAAUCAGGCGUCGAGUGCAAUGGCAAAAGGGAGCUUGACUGCGAGACCUACAAGUCGAGCAGGAGCGAAAGCUGGGCAUAGUGAUCCGGCGGUUGCGUGUGGAAGCGCCGUCGUUCAACGGAUAAAAGGUACCCCGGGGAUAACAGGCUAAUCUUGCCCAAGCGUCCAUAGCGACGGCAAGGUUUGGCACCUCGAUGUCGGCUCAUCGCAUCCUGGGGCUGAAGCAGGUCCCAAGGGUUGGGCUGUUCGCCCAUUAAAGCGGUACGCGAGCUGGGUUCAGAACGUCGUGAGACAGUUCGGUCCCUAUCCUCUGUAGCCGUAGGUGAAUUGAGGAAAGCUGUCCCUAGUACGAGAGGACCGGGACGGACGCAGCUCUCUGUUGCC